Ostrea edulis (European flat oyster) is the source of this 842-nucleotide long non-coding RNA. RefSeq lists it as uncharacterized. The record is from RefSeq and is a predicted model, not a curated record. The transcript is spliced from 2 exons. Lineage: Eukaryota; Metazoa; Mollusca; Bivalvia; Ostreida; Ostreidae.
CUGUAGACUGUUGAAAUUUUCUGGUUGUAGAGCUGCUUUUUUUAAAAUUUAAACUCCCAUGAAAAGUACUAUUUUACACCUCUGCUGUUACAGACUGAUAGGUUCGUUUAAAACUACCUGGUUUAAGUGUUACAGACUGAUAGGUUCGUUUAAAACUACCUGGUUUAAGUGUUACAGACUGAUAGGUUCGUUUAAAACUAACCUGGUUUAAGUGUCAACAGCUGUUGGAAAUGGUGGACUGCUGAGUCAUAUUCAUUCUUUCUGAACAUAAGGUCGGCCAACAUCUACAAAGAGAAAAUACCGUGUAGUCAAUUUUCGAGUCACUUGAUUUAAUUUUCUCAUAUUUACCGGGUAGUGUUUUUUCUUUUUUUUAUGCUUGGUUUCUCUGUUACCAGGUACUUACGAUUGUAGCAGCAUCAUUUUCUUUUUCGUUUUUCAGAAGAGACAUCAAUUGAUGUUGGCACGAGUCCAAGUCUUCUGUCAUCAGAUAUAAUCCCGCCAAAUCCAACAUAACCUAGGACAUUAAAUCAAAUCAUGCUGAAUAUCAUAGAAUUUAAAUGAAAUCAUACUGAUUAUCACCGAAAGGAAUUUCAGCUUGAUUUUCAUGUAAAAGCUGCCUUAUUGUGAAAAUAAUAUUCUCCUAAUACAUGUAAUUAAUAUAUUAAUGCACAAAUUGAAUCUUCAUGAAAUUUUUAUCUCAGACACCGAAAAUUCCAAGAAGGGUAACAUUUUACAGAAAUAGGUCUUCACAAAAUAUAAGUGAAUUACAGCAUAUGCUGAAAUCUGCUGUAUCAGAAAUAACACAGUAUAUCAAUACACAGGACCACCAUAAUGUUCUGCAC